Molecule: ribosomal RNA, 379 nt
Filed under: uncultured bacterium
Lineage: Bacteria
Description: bacterial SSU rRNA
Rfam family: Bacterial small subunit ribosomal RNA
Source: RNAcentral
GACGAACGCUGGCGGCGUGCUUAACACAUGCAAGUCGAGCGGUAAGGCCCUUUUGGGGGUACACGAGCGGCGAACGGGUGAGUAACACGUGGGUGACCUGCCCUCAGCUCUGGGAUAAGCCUGGGAAACUGGGUCUAAUACUGGAUAUGACCUUUCCUCGCAUGGGGGUUGGGUGGAAAGUUUUUCGGCUGGGGAGUGGGCCCGCGGCCUAUCAGCUUGUUGGGUGGGGUGAUGGCCUACCAAGGCGACGACGGGUAGCCGGCCUGAGAGGGCGACCGGCCACACUGGGACUGAGACACGGCCCAGACUCCUACGGGAGGCAGCAGUGGGGAAUAUUGCGCAAUGGGCGGAAGCCUGACGCAGCGACGCCGCGUGGGGA